RNAcentral lists this ribosomal RNA (448 nucleotides) under uncultured bacterium. RNAcentral's name for it is "SSU rRNA". It matches the Rfam family "Bacterial small subunit ribosomal RNA", at positions 26 to 518 of the family's 1533-position model. The record is from RNAcentral.
AGAGCGAACGCUGGCGGCAGGCUUAACACAUGCAAGUCGAGCGGGCGUAGCAAUACGUCAGCGGCAGACGGGUGAGUAACGCGUGGGAACGUACCUUUUGGUUCGGAACAACCCAGGGAAACUUGGGCUAAUACCGGAUAAGCCCUUACGGGGAAAGAUUUAUCGCCGAAAGAUCGGCCCGCGUCUGAUUAGCUAGUUGGUGGGGUAAUGGCCCACCAAGGCGACGAUCAGUAGCUGGUCUGAGAGGAUGAUCAGCCACAUUGGGACUGAGACACGGCCCAAACUCCUACGGGAGGCAGCAGUGGGGAAUAUUGGACAAUGGGCGCAAGCCUGAUCCAGCCAUGCCGCGUGAGUGAUGAAGGCCCUAGGGUUGUAAAGCCCUUUCGGCGGGGAAGAUAAUGACGGUACCCGCAGAAGAAGCCCCGGCUAACUUCGCGCCAGCAGCCGC